UACGUAGGGUGCAAGCGUUGUCCGGAAUUAUUGGGCGUAAAGAGCUCGUAGGCGGUCUGUCGCGUCUGCUGUGAAAACCUGGGGCUUAACCCCGGGCCUGCAGUGGGUACGGGCAGACUAGAGUGUGGUAGGGGGAGACUGGAAUUCCUGGUGUAGCGGUGAAAUGCGCAGAUAUCAGGAGGAACACCGGUGGCGAAGGCGGGUCUCUGGGCCAUAACUGGCGCUGAGGAGCGAAAGCGUGGGGGAGCGAACAGG
RNAcentral lists this ribosomal RNA (255 nucleotides) under uncultured bacterium. Its description in RNAcentral is "partial 16S ribosomal RNA". It matches the Rfam family "Bacterial small subunit ribosomal RNA", at positions 524 to 776 of the family's 1533-position model. The record is from RNAcentral.